AUUGAACGCUGGCGGAAUGCUUUACACAUGCAAGUCGAACGGCAGCACGGGGGCAGCCCUGGUGGCGAGUGGCGAACGGGUGAGUAAUACAUCGGAACGUGCCCGGUCGUGGGGGAUAACGUAGCGAAAGUUACGCUAAUACCGCAUACGAUCUGAGGAUGAAAGCGGGGGACCUUCGGGCCUCGCGCGAUCGGAGCGGCCGAUGUCAGAUUAGGUAGUUGGUGGGGUAAAGGCCUACCAAGCCGACGAUCUGUAGCUGGUCUGAGAGGACGACCAGCCAAACUGGGACUGAGACACGGCCCAGACUCCUACGGGAGGCAGCAGUGGGGAAUUUUGGACAAUGGGCGCAAGCCUGAUCCAGCCAUUCCGCGUGCAGGACGAAGGCCUUCGGGUUGUAAACUGCUUUUGUACGGAACGAAAAGGCUCUGGCUAAUACCUGGGGCUCAUGACGGUACCGUAAGAAUAAGCACCGGCUAACUACGUG
This 484-nucleotide ribosomal RNA is filed under the name uncultured bacterium. RNAcentral describes it as "partial 16S ribosomal RNA". It matches the Rfam family "Bacterial small subunit ribosomal RNA", at positions 30 to 507 of the family's 1533-position model. The record is from RNAcentral.